AACGAACGCUGGCGGCAUGCCUAAUACAUGCAAGUCGAACGAUCACUUCGGUGGUAGUGGCGCACGGGUGCGUAACGCGUGGAAUCUACCCUUGGGUUCGGAAUAACAGUUUGAAAUGACUGCUAAUACCGGAUGAUGACGAAAGUCCAAAGAUUUAUCGCCCAAGGAUGAGCCCGCGUAGGAUUAGCUGGUUGGUGAGGUAAAAGCUCACCAAGGCGACGAUCCUUAGCUGGUCUGAGAGGAUGAUCAGCCACACUGGGACUGAGACACGGCCCAGACUCCUACGGGAGGCAGCAGUAGGGAAUAUUGGACAAUGGGGGCAACCCUGAUCCAGCAAUGCCGCGUGAGUGAUGAAGGCCUUAGGGUUGUAAAGCUCUUCUACCCGAGAUGAUAAUGACAGUAUCGGGAGAAUAAGCUCCGGCUAACUCCGUGCCAGCCGCCGCCGUAA
Molecule: ribosomal RNA, 448 nt
Filed under: uncultured bacterium
Lineage: Bacteria
Description: partial 16S ribosomal RNA
Rfam family: Bacterial small subunit ribosomal RNA
Source: RNAcentral